GAUUGUUCACCCACCAAUAGGGAACGUGAGCUGGGUUUAGACCGUCGUGAGACAGAUUAGUUUUACCCUACUGAUGAUAGUAUAGCAAUAGUAAUUCAACCUAGUACGAGAGGAACCGUUGAUUCACACAAUUGGUCAUCGCACUUGGUUGAAAAGCCAGUGGCGCGAAGCUACUAUGCGCUGGAUUAUGACUGAACGCUUCUAAGUCAGAAUCUGGGCUAGAAGCGAUGGAUGCGCCCGCCGCCGGCUUGCUGACCCGCAGUAGGGGCCGUUCGACCCCCAAAGACAUGUGUCGUUGGCGAAGCCCGCGCGGUGAACGAGCCACGCGGGCCGCCUUGAAGUACAAUUCCUAUCUCAAGCGGUAGGUAGAAUCCUUUGCAGGCAACUUAAAUACCCGGUGGGGUACUGUAAGUGGCAGAGUGGCCUUGCUGCCAUGAUCCACUGAGAU
RNAcentral lists this ribosomal RNA (448 nucleotides) under Camellia piquetiana. RNAcentral describes it as "partial large subunit ribosomal RNA". It matches the Rfam family "Eukaryotic large subunit ribosomal RNA", at positions 2927 to 3377 of the family's 3401-position model. Lineage: Eukaryota; Viridiplantae; Streptophyta; Magnoliopsida; Ericales; Theaceae. The record is from RNAcentral.